UACGAAGGGUGCAAACGUUGCUCGGAAUUAUUGGGCGUAAAGCGCACGUAGGCGGCAUUGCAAGUCGGAUGUGAAAUCCCUCGGCUUAACCAAGGAAGUGCAUCCGAAACUGCAGUGCUUGAGUACGAAAGAGGAUCGCGGAAUUCCCGGUGUAGAGGUGAAAUUCGUAGAUAUUAGGAAGAACACCAGUGGCGAAGGCGGCUCACUGGUCCGGUACUGACGCUGAGGUGCGAAAGCGUGGGGAGCAAACAGG
This 253-nucleotide ribosomal RNA is filed under the name uncultured bacterium. Its description in RNAcentral is "partial 16S ribosomal RNA". It matches the Rfam family "Bacterial small subunit ribosomal RNA", at positions 524 to 776 of the family's 1533-position model. The record is from RNAcentral.